Molecule: unclassified non-coding RNA, 240 nt
Filed under: soil metagenome
Description: partial contains 5.8S ribosomal RNA, internal transcribed spacer 2, and large subunit ribosomal RNA
Source: RNAcentral
AACGCACGAGACCUGCGGACCUGCGGAAGGAUCAUUGCAAAUCAGGAGGGGAGUGUGGGGGAAGGAGAUCGGGGGAUCGAGAUCUUGUGGUCUCGAUGCUCUGUUCUAUCCAUCCCAUUCCAUCUCAUAUAUGCACAGCGGCUGAUUUUCAGUCGCUGAUGUUUACGCUUGUUUGUUUGACAAAUCUAUACAUUGCAAAAUUCAAAACUUUUAACAAUGGAUCUCUAGAUCGGAAGAGCA